AGAGUUUGAUCCUGGCUCAGAUUGAACGCUGGCGGCAUGCCUUACACAUGCAAGUCGAACGGCAGCACGGAGCUUGCUCUGGUGGCGAGUGGCGAACGGGUGAGUAAUAUAUCGGAACGUACCCUAGAGUGGGGGAUAACGUAGCGAAAGUUACGCUAAUACCGCAUACGAUCUACGGAUGAAAGUGGGGGAUCGCAAGACCUCAUGCUCAUGGAGCGGCCGAUAUCUGAUUAGCUAGUUGGUAGGGUAAAAGCCUACCAAGGCAUCGAUCAGUAGCUGGUCUGAGAGGACGACCAGCCACACUGGAACUGAGACACGGUCCAGACUCCUACGGGAGGCAGCAGUGGGGAAUUUUGGACAAUGGGCGAAAGCCUGAUCCAGCAAUGCCGCGUGAGUGAAGAAGGCCUUCGGGUUGUAAAGCUCUUUUGUCAGGGAAGAAACGGUUGUCUCUAAUACAGAUGGCUAAUGACGGUACCUGAAGAAUAAGCACCGGCUAACUACGUGCCAGCAGCCGCGGUAAUACGUAGGGUGCAAGCGUUAAUCGGAAUUACUGGGCGUAAAGCGUGCGCAGGCGGUUAUGUAAGACGGAUGUGAAAUGCCCGGGCUUAACCUGGGAACUGCAUUUGUGACUGCAUGGCUAGAGUUUGGCAGAGGGGGGUAGAAUUCCACGUGUAGCAGUGAAAUGCGUAGAUAUGUGGAGGAACACCGAUGGCGAAGGCAGCCCCCUGGGUCAAGACUGACGCUCAUGCACGAAAGCGUGGGGAGCAAACAGGAUUAGAUACCCUGGUAGUCCACGCCCUAAACGAUGUCUACUAGUUGUCGGGUCUUAAUUGACUUGGUAACGCAGCUAACGCGUGAAGUAGACCGCCUGGGGAGUACGGUCGCAAGAUUAAAACUCAAAGGAAUUGACGGGGACCCGCACAAGCGGUGGAUGAUGUGGAUUAAUUCGAUGCAACGCGAAAAACCUUACCUACCCUUGACAUGGCUGGAAUCCCUGAGAGAUUGGGGAGUGCUCGAAAGAGAACCAGUACACAGGUGCUGCAUGGCUGUCGUCAGCUCGUG
Molecule: ribosomal RNA, 1062 nt
Filed under: uncultured Aquaspirillum sp.
Lineage: Bacteria; Pseudomonadati; Pseudomonadota; Betaproteobacteria; Neisseriales; Aquaspirillaceae
Description: bacterial SSU rRNA
Rfam family: Bacterial small subunit ribosomal RNA
Source: RNAcentral